UACGGGGGGGGCAAGCGUUGUUCGGAAUUACUGGGCGUAAAGGGCUCGUAGGCGGCCAACUAAGUCAUACGUGAAAUCCCUCGGCUUAACCGGGGAACUGCGUCUGAUACUGGAUGGCUUGAGUUCGGGAGAGGGAUGCAGAAUUCCAGGUGUAGCGGUGAAAUGCGUAGAUAUCUGGAGGAAUACCGGUGGCGAAGGCGGCAUCCUGGACCGACAUUGACGCUGAGGAGCGAAAGCUAGGGGAGCAAACGGG
Molecule: ribosomal RNA, 253 nt
Filed under: uncultured bacterium
Lineage: Bacteria
Description: partial 16S ribosomal RNA
Rfam family: Bacterial small subunit ribosomal RNA
Source: RNAcentral